GACGUAGGGCGCGAGCGUUGUCCGGAUUUAUUGGGCGUAAAGAGCUCGUAGGCGGUGUGUCGCGUCGGCCGUGAAAACCUGCAGCUUAACUGUGGGCUUGCGGUCGAUACGGGCAUCACUGGAGUUCGGCAGGGGAGACUGGAAUUCCUGGUGUAGCGGUGAAAUGCGCAGAUAUCAGGAGGAACACCGGUGGCGAAGGCGGGUCUCUGGGCCGAUACUGACGCUGGAGGAGC
RNAcentral lists this ribosomal RNA (233 nucleotides) under uncultured bacterium. Its description in RNAcentral is "partial 16S ribosomal RNA". It matches the Rfam family "Bacterial small subunit ribosomal RNA", at positions 524 to 754 of the family's 1533-position model. The record is from RNAcentral.